This is a non-coding RNA of Mus caroli (Ryukyu mouse), 480 nucleotides long. The record is from RefSeq and is a predicted model, not a curated record. Lineage: Eukaryota; Metazoa; Chordata; Mammalia; Rodentia; Muridae.
AUCAGCUUCAUGAGGAGCCUGCCGUUCUUCUGCCGCGGCCAGGUGGUGCGUGGCUUCGGCCGGGGCUCCAAGCAACUGGGCAUCCCCACAGCCAAUUUUCCUGAACAAGUGGUAGACAAUCUUCCAGCGGAUGUGUCUGUCCACUGGCAUUUAUUAUGGUUGGGCCAGCGUUGGGAGCGGCGAUGUCCAUAAAAUGGUGGUGAGCAUUGGAUGGAACCCGUACUAUAAGAAUGUGAAAAAGUCCAUGGAAACCCACAUCAUCCAUACCUUUAAAGCGAACUUCUAUGGGGAAAUUCUCAAUGUGGCCAUUGUUGGCUAUCUCAGACCUGAAAAAAACUUUGAUUCUUUAGAGUCACUUAUUUCUGCGAUUCAAGGUGAUAUUGAAGAAGCUAAAAAGCAACUGGAUUUACUCGAACAUUUGAAACUCAAAUAUGAAAUUUCUUCCAAGUUUCUAAAGGCAAAAUUAUGAAUGGCCACUAA